RNAcentral lists this long non-coding RNA (557 nucleotides) under Prunus dulcis (almond). RNAcentral describes it as "sRNA ncRNA". Lineage: Eukaryota; Viridiplantae; Streptophyta; Magnoliopsida; Rosales; Rosaceae. The record is from RNAcentral.
CUAUGAUAACAUUAGGGGGAGUCCACUUCGGAGCUGGUGGUGGUUUGAGUUGAGUAUUUGGUGGAGGCAAGGUGUUGAAAUUGAUGUGGUUGGGUUUACCAGCUAUUGGAUUGACACAAAUGUGAAAUGCGUUGAUGAUUUUACGUACUGUGGUACCCCCUACCACCAUAAGAAGCUGGAUUUUUGGAAUGGCUUGAGUAGUCUGGACCCUUAAGGAUGGCUGGCCUUGGUUGGUUAUCGGUCAUCUCAAUGAGGUUAUUUGGGAACAUGAAAAAGAAGGGGGUUGUGUCUGGAGAGCCAUUCAUAAUCCUGAUGCCUUACGGUUUCAUAUUUUGAAGGACAUAUAUUUUCCUGAAUGCGAUUUCAUGCAGGCAUUGGCGGGGCAUUGGGCUUCUUGAGUUUGGCCAGCUUGCUUGAGGGGCGAGACGCUAUUUAGGAGAAAAUGCAGAUUCAGAUCCUGGAUGGUGAAUCUAGGAAGAUAUGGGAGGAUGCUUGGUUGCCCCAUCCCCACAUUGGGUGUAUCAACACUACUGCUCUUAUCCCUCCAUUUGCUCCGG